Molecule: ribosomal RNA, 602 nt
Filed under: uncultured organism
Description: bacterial SSU rRNA
Rfam family: Bacterial small subunit ribosomal RNA
Source: RNAcentral
ACUCCUACGGGAGGCAGCAGUGGGGAAUUUUGGACAAUGGGGGAAACCCUGAUCCAGCAAUGCCGCGUGUGCGAAGAAGGCCUUCGGGUUGUAAAGCACUUUUGUCAGGGAAGAAAUCCUUUGGGCUAAUACCCUAGGGGGAUGACGGUACCUGAAGAAUAAGCACCGGCUAACUACGUGCCAGCAGCCGCGGUAAUACGUAGGGUGCAAGCGUUAAUCGGAAUUACUGGGCGUAAAGCGUGCGCAGGCGGUUGUGUAAGACAGGUGUGAAAUCCCCGGGCUUAACCUGGGAAUUGCAUUUGUGACUGCACGACUAGAGUGUGUCAGAGGGGGGUGGAAUUCCACGUGUAGCAGUGAAAUGCGUAGAUAUGUGGAGGAACACCAAUGGCGAAGGCAGCCCCCUGGGAUAACACUGACGCUCAUGCACGAAAGCGUGGGGAGCAAACAGGAUUAGAUACCCUGGUAGUCCACGCCCUAAACGAUGUCAACUAGUUGUUGGGGAUUUACUUCCUUGGUAACGUAGCUAACGCGUGAAGUUGACCGCCUGGGGAGUACGGCCGCAAGGUUAAAACUCAAAGGAAUUGACGGGGACCCGCACAAGC